RNAcentral lists this ribosomal RNA (504 nucleotides) under uncultured bacterium. RNAcentral describes it as "bacterial SSU rRNA". It matches the Rfam family "Bacterial small subunit ribosomal RNA", at positions 899 to 1397 of the family's 1533-position model. The record is from RNAcentral.
ACUCAAAGGAAUAGACGGGGGCCCGCACAAGCAGUGGAGUAUGUGGUUUAAUUCGACGCAACGCGAAGAACCUUACCAGGGCUUGACAUCCCCGGCGAUCGGUAGAGAUAUCGAGUUCUACGGAGCAAUCCGUGGACCGGGAGACAGGUGGUGCAUGGUUGUCGUCAGCUCGUGUCGUGAGAUGUUGGGUUAAGUCCCGCAACGAGCGCAACCCCUGUUGUCAGUUGCCAUCAUUAAGUUGGGCACUCUGGCGAGACCGCCGUUGACAAAACGGAGGAAGGUGGGGAUGAGGUCAAAUCAUCAUGCCCCUUAUGUCCUGGGCUACACACGUACUACAAUGGCACUCACAGAGGGCAGCGACACCGCGAGGUGAAGCGAAUCCCGAAAGUGUGUCUCAGUUCGGAUUGCAGGCUGCAACUCGCCUGCAUGAAGCAGGAAUUGCUAGUAAUGGCAGGUCAGCAUACUGCCGUGAAUACGUUCCCGGGCCUUGCACACACCGCCCGU